CCCUCGAUAGCUCAGUUGGAAGAGCAUGAGACUGUAAAUCUCAGGGUCAUCGGUUUGAUCCCGAUUCGAGGGA
This is a non-coding RNA of Melampsora americana, 73 nucleotides long. The record is from the annotation of a GenBank genome assembly. Lineage: Eukaryota; Fungi; Basidiomycota; Pucciniomycetes; Pucciniales; Melampsoraceae.